RNAcentral lists this transfer RNA (89 nucleotides) under Paludihabitans sp. MB14-C6. RNAcentral describes it as "Paludicola sp. MB14-C6 tRNA-Leu". It matches the Rfam family "tRNA". Rfam says of the family: Transfer RNA (tRNA) molecules are approximately 80 nucleotides in length. Lineage: Bacteria; Bacillati; Bacillota; Clostridia; Eubacteriales; Oscillospiraceae. The record is from RNAcentral.
GCUGGUGUGGCGGAACUGGCAGACGCCCAGGACUUAAAAUCCUGUGAGGUUAACUCCUCGUACCGGUUCGAUUCCGGUCACCAGCACCA